This 3364-nucleotide long non-coding RNA is filed under the name Gossypium raimondii (Peruvian cotton). RNAcentral describes it as "long non-coding RNA (GRAI_LNC005024)". Lineage: Eukaryota; Viridiplantae; Streptophyta; Magnoliopsida; Malvales; Malvaceae. The record is from RNAcentral.
AAAAUCAACAAUGGAGUAUUUUAAGCAUAUAAAAAGAUUGGGAGACGCUUUGUUUGAGUUGCUAUCAGAGGCACUUGGUCUUCAACCAGACCACCUUAACUCAAUCGGAUGUAGUAAAGGGUGUAGCAUAGUGACCCACUACUAUCCACCUUGCCCUCAACCUGAACUCACUUUAGGGGUAAGGAAACAUGCAGACGCAGGCAUAUUAACAGUGCUUCUACAGAACCAUAUGGGCGGCCUCCAAGUCCUUCACGACAGUCAAUGGUUCGACGUCCACCCCACUCGAGGUGGUUUGGUCAUAAACGUCGGCGAUCUUCUUCAAGUUAGCUUCAAUUCACAAACUCUAUAUGAAACUGUCCUAAUAGACUAGCUACUGACUCUUUUUAUGUUGUUUAUGGUAGGUUUUAUCAAAUAAUAAGUUCAAGAGUGUGAAACAUAGAGCAAUUUCCAGUCAUGUCGGACCUAGAAUUUCGGUGGCAUGUUUUUUCUCAGGACAUGCUAGCUUGCUUGACAAGCCAUUUGGACCAAUCAAAAAGCUGAUAUCAGAGGCAAAUCCUCCUCGAUAUGAAGAGUUUUUGUUAAAGGAAUAUUUUGCCAAGUUUUUUGCAAGCUCACUUGAUUCCAAGCCUCCUAUAGAUUACUACAAGCUGUGAAGCUAUAAACUAUCAAUUUGCCGUUAGAAUACCAAGCUGAAUAAAAUAGUCUUGUGUGUGUUUUAAUUUGUAUCACAAAUUUAGUAAUUGUAGUGUAGUGUAUUUUGUUUGUAUAAUAAGCAUGUUUAAGAUAUUUUAUAUUUUACAUAAAUUUUGAUAUAUAAAUAAUCUGAAUUAUAUUGUUUUCAAGACAUACAUAUAUUCUUAUCAUAUUUGUGUUGUUUUCUCUUAUUACAUUGUAUUUUUCCCACAUAAUUUAAUCUUAGAAACAUGGCUAUGGGUUUCGUCUAGUCUAGACUAUUGUGACCUCCCUUUUUAAGUCUACCCAUAGUAAAGAUUUCAUUGGUAAAAAUAUCAUGAAUGCUUUUAUACUAUAAAUUGAAUUACAUUUUACCAUCUUUACUAUUUCUGCUAUGUCACGCAACAUGUGCAAUUUAACUAAAAAAUUAAGUUUCAGUCAUUGUAGUUCACGUCUCACCUUUUAAUAAAAUUAAUUAUAUAAUAAAUUUUAUAUUUAUUUUUUUCAAAAGCGUACUUUUUUCGGCUACCACUUCAACAACUAGUUAAAUACACAAUAGAUUGUUUUUAAAAAUUUUAAGGUAAAUUGCACAUAAGUUUACUAAAUUAUUAAUUAUUAAUAAGUUUAUGUUUUGGUCACUUAACUAAAAAAAUUACAAAAUGGUCAUUAAAUUAUUAGAAAGUUUUCAUUUAAAUCAUUAGGCUAUUAAAAUCAUUAUUGUAUAGUCUUUUCUCUUCGUACAGUGUGCACCAAUCGAACAAUCGAAAGUUUUUUUUCCCUUUUCUUUUAUAAUUCAAUUUUUCUCAUGAAACCACUUUAAACGUCAUAAUUUGUCAAUCAAAAUUUAAACAGUUUUAUUCUCUAAUCUUCGACACUGACUAUCAGAUUGACUUGGAUCUAAAGUACGUUUUACUCGUCGAUGAGUAUUAAUUUACUAUACUAAUUGCUGAAUUAUUGCUUGAAACUCAUUAUAUGGACUUAAAAAGAAUAACAAUAAUUUAAAUAAAAACUUUCGAAUAGUUCAAAAUUAAAAGAUAAACUUAAUUUAGUGAGCUAUAAGUAAAUUAACCUUUUAAUUUUUAUGGUUUUUUAGUAAUUUAUUAAAUUAAAUCAGACUAAAUUGAUUCAACUAAAAGUCGGUCUUCUAAUUCAUUCAACCACUUGUGGAGAUUUUAAAAGAAAAAGAAAAAAGCAAUUCAAUUAGCAGAGAAAAUGGCAACCGAAACCUCAGUGGAUUACGACAGAACCAAAGAGUUGAAGCAAUUCGACGACACAAAAGCUGGUGUUAAAGGACUCGUCGAUGCCGGAAUACUUAACAUCCCCAAGAUUUUCGUUCGACCAGCCGAGGACCUUGCCGCCGACGAACUGAAUUCUGGCCACAAAAACGUCGAAGUCCCGAUCAUAGAUGUAAGCAACGUCGGAGACAGUAUCCGGCGACAGGAGAUCGUAAACGAAGUUAAGAUUGCAUCAGGGGAAUGGGGUUUCUUCCAAGUGAUAAACCAUGGGAUCCCAUUAAGUGUUUUGGAUGAAAUGAUUGAAGGGAUACGUUUGUUUAAUGAACAAGAUUUGGAGUUGAAGAUGGAGCUGUAUAGCCGUGACGGUGCAAAGAAAGUGAAAUUCCUCUCUAACUUUGAUAUUUAUACUUCAAAAGCUCUUGAUUGGAAGGACACUUUGCAACUCUCUUUGCUAGAUUUUGAUCCUGACCCCUCUGAAAUGCCACCUGUCUGCAGGUAACUAAACACUAUCUCGGUGAUUUUUACCCCAUAUGAUUUUCGAGUUUCUCAAGAGAAAUAUUCGAAUUGCGGUCUAUUUAAGGUUCACGUAUCCCUUAACAAGUUCACAUAUGAUAUUGUAUUAAGUUGAGGUUUUGUGUUUCGAUUCUAUUGAAAGCCACGCAAGAUUCAGAGCAUUUCAUUAAAUUGAAUCGUGUGUACUAAAGAAAAUAUGAAUUAUUUGUUAUUGGUAUAGUUUGAAUCUAUGCCUUAAAAUGAUAUUUAAGGGCAUGUAUAGAUCAAGUUGUAGCACAUAUGCUCAAUGAUGCCAUUUAGGGCUUGGUUCAAAUUCUGCCAUUGGCAAAUGAUUAUAAUUUCCUUGGUAGUUGGGUAUAUGUUAUGUAUAGUCUGAUUCAAUGAGAUGUUCUCAUUUUAUGAAUAGAGAAGCUGGAGUUAAAAUUGCAUGGUAUAAAACAUACUAUAGGAAUUUACUGUCUCUAGCUAAUCAGUACUUCUAAACUUUCUAAAAAAUGACUUUGAAAUAUGUAGUAUUCCUUAGAAUUGUUACCAACCAAAACUAUGUAAUUAAGGGGUGCUUAGCCAAUAUAGGAACAUAUAUAUUAGUAGAAAAUUUCCAAAUUUACAUUGGGCUUUUUUCUUUGGUUUUAUUAAAUUUGCAGAAAAUCAACAAUGGAGUAUAUUAAGCAUUUGAAAAAAUUGGGAGAAACUUUGUUUGAGUUAUUAUCAGAGGCACUUGGUCUUCAACCAGACCACCUUAACUCAAUCGGAUGCAGUAAAGGGUGUAGCAUAGUGGCCCAUUACUAUCCACCUUGCCCUCAACCUGAACUCACUUUAGGGGUAAGGAAACAUGCAGAUGCAGGCAUAUUAACGGUGCUUCUACAAAACCAUAUUGGCGGCCUCCAAGUCCUUCACGACGAUCAAUGGUUCGACGUCCACCCAAUUCGAGGCGGUUUGGUCAU